Molecule: non-coding RNA, 318 nt
Organism: Cherax quadricarinatus
Lineage: Eukaryota; Metazoa; Arthropoda; Malacostraca; Decapoda; Parastacidae
Source: RefSeq, a predicted model, not a curated record
AUUGACCUUACCUGGUGUGGACUGAAGUUUGGAGAGUCACUUCGCCUCCACUCUUCUCCUAAUCAGCUCUGUUCCUGGCGUGGUCUUCCAGGAUAGACGCCAGAUAAAGGGGCAAGACGUGUUAAUAAUACUUAUUAACAUUAUUCUACAACUACCGGCCCUUACCUAUUCUACUUGUGCUCCAUCCAAGUGGUAGGAGAUUCCAGAACAUCGGAUUACCAUCUGCCCAGGAUAACCUACAUAAAUAACAUCAGAGGAACUAUCCAGGGCCAUACCUACUCCUACCCAACUACAUGAACUGAAGGCCAUUUUUUUUUA